GGGUUGUGAGGUUAAGCGACUAAGCGUACACGGUGGAUGCCCUGGCAGUCAGAGGCGAUGAAGGACGUGCUAAUCUGCGAUAAGCGCCGGUAAGGUGAUAUGAACCGUUAUAACCGGCGAUUUCCGAAUGGGGAAACCCAGUGUGACUCGUCACACUAUCAUUAACUGAAUCCAUAGGUUAAUGAGGCGAACCGGGGGAACUGAAACAUCUAAGUACCCCGAGGAAAAGAAAUCAACCGAGAUUCCCCCAGUAGCGGCGAGCGAACGGGGAGGAGCCCAGAGCCUGAAUCAGCAUGUGUGUUAGUGGAAGCGUCUGGAAAGGCGCGCGAUACAGGGUGACAGCCCCGUACACAAAAGCGCAUGUGCUGUGAGCUCGAUGAGUAGGGCGGGACACGUGGUAUCCUGUCUGAAUAUGGGGGGACCAUCCUCCAAGGCUAAAUACUCCUGACUGACCGAUAGUGAACCAGUACCGUGAGGGAAAGGCGAAAAGAACCCCGGCGAGGGGAGUGAAAAAGAACCUGAAACCGUGUACGUACAAGCAGUGGGAGCACCCUUUUGGGUGUGACUGCGUACCUUUUGUAUAAUGGGUCAGCGACUUAUAUUCUGUAGCAAGGUUAACCGUAUAGGGGAGCCGUAGGGAAACCGAGUCUUAAUUGGGCGUUAAGUUGCAGGGUAUAGACCCGAAACCCGGUGAUCUAGCCAUGGGCAGGUUGAAGGUUGGGUAACACUAACUGGAGGACCGAACCGACUAAUGUUGAAAAAUUAGCGGAUGACCUGUGGCUGGGGGUGAAAGGCCAAUCAAACCGGGAGAUAGCUGGUUCUCCCCGAAAGCUAUUUAGGUAGCGCCUCGUGAAUUCAUCUCCGGGGGUAGAGCACUGUUUCGGCUAGGGGGCCAUCCCGGCUUACCAACCCGAUGCAAACUGCGAAUACCGGAGAAUGUUAUCACGGGAGACACACGGCGGGUGCUAACGUCCGUCGUGAAGAGGGAAACAACCCAGACCGCCAGCUAAGGUCCCAAAGUCAUGGUUAAGUGGGAAACGAUGUGGGAAGGCCCAGACAGCCAGGAUGUUGGCUUAGAAGCAGCCAUCAUUUAAAGAAAGCGUAAUAGCUCACUGGUCGAGUCGGCCUGCGCGGAAGAUGUAACGGGGCUAAACCAUGCACCGAAGCUGCGGCAGCGACACUAUGUGUUGUUGGGUAGGGGAGCGUUCUGUAAGCCUGUGAAGGUGUGCUGUGAGGCAUGCUGGAGGUAUCAGAAGUGCGAAUGCUGACAUAAGUAACGAUAAAGCGGGUGAAAAGCCCGCUCGCCGGAAGACCAAGGGUUCCUGUCCAACGUUAAUCGGGGCAGGGUGAGUCGACCCCUAAGGCGAGGCCGAAAGGCGUAGUCGAUGGGAAACGGGUUAAUAUUCCCGUACUUGGUGUUACUGCGAAGGGGGGACGGAGAAGGCUAUGUUGGCCGGGCGACGGUUGUCCCGGUUUAAGCGUGUAGGUGUGUGUUCCAGGUAAAUCCGGUUCACUUUAACACUGAGGCGUGAUGACGAGGCACUACGGUGCUGAAGCAACAAAUGCCCUGCUUCCAGGAAAAGCCUCUAAGCAUCAGGUAACAUCAAAUCGUACCCCAAACCGACACAGGUGGUCAGGUAGAGAAUACCAAGGCGCUUGAGAGAACUCGGGUGAAGGAACUAGGCAAAAUGGUGCCGUAACUUCGGGAGAAGGCACGCUGACAUGUAGGUGAAGUGAUUUACUCAUGGAGCUGAAGUCAGUCGAAGAUACCAGCUGGCUGCAACUGUUUAUUAAAAACACAGCACUGUGCAAACACGAAAGUGGACGUAUACGGUGUGACGCCUGCCCGGUGCCGGAAGGUUAAUUGAUGGGGUCAGCGCAAGCGAAGCUCCUGAUCGAAGCCCCGGUAAACGGCGGCCGUAACUAUAACGGUCCUAAGGUAGCGAAAUUCCUUGUCGGGUAAGUUCCGACCUGCACGAAUGGCGUAAUGAUGGCCAGGCUGUCUCCACCCGAGACUCAGUGAAAUUGAACUCGCUGUGAAGAUGCAGUGUACCCGCGGCAAGACGGAAAGACCCCGUGAACCUUUACUAUAGCUUGACACUGAACAUUGAGCCUUGAUGUGUAGGAUAGGUGGGAGGCUUUGAAGUGUGGACGCCAGUCUGCAUGGAGCCGACCUUGAAAUACCACCCUUUAAUGUUUGAUGUUCUAACGUGGACCCGUGAUCCGGGUUGCGGACAGUGUCUGGUGGGUAGUUUGACUGGGGCGGUCUCCUCCUAAAGAGUAACGGAGGAGCACGAAGGUUGGCUAAUCCUGGUCGGACAUCAGGAGGUUAGUGCAAUGGCAUAAGCCAGCUUGACUGCGAGCGUGACGGCGCGAGCAGGUGCGAAAGCAGGUCAUAGUGAUCCGGUGGUUCUGAAUGGAAGGGCCAUCGCUCAACGGAUAAAAGGUACUCCGGGGAUAACAGGCUGAUACCGCCCAAGAGUUCAUAUCGACGGCGGUGUUUGGCACCUCGAUGUCGGCUCAUCACAUCCUGGGGCUGAAGUAGGUCCCAAGGGUAUGGCUGUUCGCCAUUUAAAGUGGUACGCGAGCUGGGUUUAGAACGUCGUGAGACAGUUCGGUCCCUAUCUGCCGUGGGCGCUGGAGAACUGAGGGGGGCUGCUCCUAGUACGAGAGGACCGGAGUGGACGCAUCACUGGUGUUCGGGUUGUCAUGCCAAUGGCACUGCCCGGUAGCUAAAUGCGGAAGAGAUAAGUGCUGAAAGCAUCUAAGCACGAAACUUGCCCCGAGAUGAGUUCUCCCUGAGACUUUAAGUCUCCUGAAGGAACGUUGAAGACGACGACGUUGAUAGGCCGGGUGUGUAAGCGCAGCGAUGCGUUGAGCUAACCGGUACUAAUGAACCGUGAGGCUUAACCUUACAACGCCGAAG
Molecule: ribosomal RNA, 2926 nt
Filed under: Salmonella enterica subsp. enterica serovar Cerro str. CFSAN001588
Lineage: Bacteria; Pseudomonadati; Pseudomonadota; Gammaproteobacteria; Enterobacterales; Enterobacteriaceae
Description: bacterial LSU rRNA
Rfam family: Bacterial large subunit ribosomal RNA
Source: RNAcentral